RNAcentral lists this ribosomal RNA (503 nucleotides) under uncultured Geobacter sp. Its description in RNAcentral is "bacterial SSU rRNA". It matches the Rfam family "Bacterial small subunit ribosomal RNA", at positions 335 to 830 of the family's 1533-position model. The record is from RNAcentral. Lineage: Bacteria; Pseudomonadati; Thermodesulfobacteriota; Desulfuromonadia; Geobacterales; Geobacteraceae.
ACUCCUACGGGAGGCAGCAGUGGGGAAUUUUGCGCAAUGGGGGAAACCCUGACGCAGCAACGCCGCGUGAGUGAUGAAGGCCCUUGGGUCGUAAAGCUCUGACAGAGGGAAAGAAAUGUGGGUGGCUAAUAUCCAUACCACUUGACGGUACCCUCAAAGGAAGCACCGGCUAACUCCGUGCCAGCAGCCGCGGUAAUACGGAGGGUGCGAGCGUUGUUCGGAUUUAUUGGGCGUAAAGCGCGUGUAGGCGGUUUUAUAAGUCUGAUGUGAAAGCCCCGGGCUCAACCUGGGAAGUGCAUUGGAUACUGUAAGACUUGAAUACGGGAGAGGGCAGUGGAAUUCCUAGUGUAGGAGUGAAAUCCGUAGAUAUUAGGAGGAACACCGGUGGCGAAGGCGGCUGCCUGGACCGAUAUUGACGCUGAGACGCGAAAGCGUGGGUAGCAAACAGGAUUAGAUACCCUGGUAGUCCACGCUGUAAACGAUGAGAACUAGGUGUUGCGGGU